AGGAUUUAAGCCAUGCCAUGUUAUAAGUAUAACCUGCCCAGACAGGGRAACUGCGUACGGCUCAUUUACACCAGCUGUAAUUUACUUGACCUUGACAAACCUACUUGGAUAACUGUGGUAAUUCUAGAGCUAAUACAUGCACCAAAACUCCGAUCGCAAGAGAGGAGUGCAUUUGUUCGCCACAAAACCAAGCGCCCUCGGGCGUCACAUUGCUGACCCAGAACAACUCAGCUGAUCGCACGGUCUUGCACCGGCGACGUGUCUUUCAAGUGUCUGCCUUAUCAACUUUCGAUGGUAGUGUACCUGACUACCAUGGUUGUGACGGGUAACGGAGGAUAAGGGUUCGACUCCGGAGAAGGGGCCUGAGAAAUGGCCACUACGUCUAAGGAUGGCAGCAGGCGCGCAAAUUACCCACUCUCGACUCGAGGAGGUAGUGACGAGAAAUAACAAGACCGUUCUCACAUGAGGCCGGUCAUUGGAAUGGGUACAAUUUAAACCCUUUAACGAGUAUCUAUGAGAGGGCAAGUCUGGUGCCAGCAGCCGCGGUAAUUCCAGCUCUCAAAAUGCAUAGAAUUAUUGCUGCGGUUAAAAAGCUCGUAGUUGGAUCUGUGCUGGCCGCCCGGUCUGCCCAUUGGGUAUGCACUGGCGCGGUCGGCUUUUGCUGCCGGUUUACGCCCGGCGUUGGCCUUCAUCGGUCGGCGUCGGUGGGCCGGCGAGUUUACUUUGAACAAAUCAGAGUGCUUAAAACAGGCGUUUCGCCUGAAUGUUCGUGCAUGGAAUAAUAGAAGAGGAUCACGGUCCGAUUUUAUUGGUUUUGCUGACCGAGAUAAUGGUUAACAGAGACAAACGGGG
This 852-nucleotide ribosomal RNA is filed under the name Nematoda environmental sample. RNAcentral's name for it is "SSU rRNA". It matches the Rfam family "Eukaryotic small subunit ribosomal RNA", at positions 40 to 898 of the family's 1831-position model. Lineage: Eukaryota; Metazoa; Nematoda. The record is from RNAcentral.